Molecule: ribosomal RNA, 398 nt
Filed under: uncultured bacterium
Lineage: Bacteria
Description: bacterial SSU rRNA
Rfam family: Bacterial small subunit ribosomal RNA
Source: RNAcentral
GACGAACGCUGGCGGCGUGCUUAACACAUGCAAGUCGAGCGGUAAGGCCCUUUCGGGGGUACGACGAGCGGCGAACGGGUGAGUAACACGUGGGUGACCUGCCCUCAGCUCUGGGAUAAGCCUGGGAAACCGGGUCUAAUACUGGAUAUGACUCCAUGACGCAUGUUGUGGGGUGGAAAGCCUUGUGCGGCUGAGGAUGGGCCCGCGGCCUAUCAGCUUGUUGGUGGGGUGANGGCCUACCAAGGCGACGACGGGUAGCCGGCCUGAGAGGGCGACCGGCCACACUGGGACUGAGACACGGCCCAGACUCCUACGGGAGGCAGCAGUGGGGAAUCUUGCGCAAUGGGCGAAAGCCUGACGCAGCGACGCCGCGUGAGGGAUGACGGCCUCGGUUGUAA